Molecule: ribosomal RNA, 774 nt
Filed under: uncultured Neocallimastigales
Lineage: Eukaryota; Fungi; Neocallimastigomycota; Neocallimastigomycetes; Neocallimastigales
Description: partial large subunit ribosomal RNA
Rfam family: Eukaryotic large subunit ribosomal RNA
Source: RNAcentral
GUACACGCUGUGACUAGCAUAUCAAUAAGCGGAGGAAAAGAAACUAACAAGGAUUCCCCUAGUAACGGCGAGUGAAGCGGGAAGAGCUCAAAUUUGAAAUCCUAAAGGGUUUCCCUUUACGAAUUGUAGUUUAAAGAAGUGUUUUCUGUUGAGGUUUUGGUAAAAGUUCUUUGGAAUAGGACAUCAUAGAGGGUGAGAAUCCCGUAUUUGACCUUUACUUUCAACUUUGUGAUACACUUUCAAAGAGUCGGAUUGUUUGGGAAUGCAGUCCAAAAUGGGUGGUAAAUUUCAUCUAAAGCUGAAUAUUGGCGAGAGACCGAUAGCGAACAAGUACCGUGAGGGAAAGAUGAAAAGAACUUUGAAAAGAGAGUUAAACAGUACGUGAAAUUGUCAAAAGGGAAGCGUUUGACACCAGUGUUGUUUUUCUGAAAAUCAAUUAAAGAACUGUUUAUGCUAAGCUGUUUAGACUUUAUCAGCUAUCUGUUUAGUUUUGAGCUUUUCUUUAAUGCACUUUUCAGUUAACAAGUCAACAUCAAUUUCUUUUGCUGUAAAAAAGCUUGAGGAAGGUGGCUUGAGAUUCGUCUUAAGUGUUUAUAGCCUCUUGCCUAUGCAGUCGGAGAGAUUGAGGUCUGCAGCGUAGAUCCUUCGGGGCUAAAUGCAUUUGUGCUAAGUUAUAGCAUUUUAUAGACAACUUGUUGACUAUGAUUUGUCUUGUAGCUUACUCGCUUAUGUUAUUUUACCUACGCUUAGGAUGUUGAAGUCAUCGUAUCGCGC